GACGUAGGGCGCGAGCGUUGUCCGGAUUUAUUGGGCGUAAAGAGCUCGUAGGCGGCUUGUCGCGUCGUCUGUGAAAACCCGCGGCUCAACUGCGGGCCUGCAGUCGAUACGGGCAGGCUAGAGUUCGGUAGGGGAGACUGGAAUUCCUGGUGUAGCGGUGAAAUGCGCAGAUAUCAGGAGGAACACCGGUGGCGAAGGCGGGUCUCUGGGCCGACACUGACACUGAGGAGCGAAAGCCAGGGGAGCAAACGGG
This 253-nucleotide ribosomal RNA is filed under the name uncultured bacterium. RNAcentral describes it as "partial 16S ribosomal RNA". It matches the Rfam family "Bacterial small subunit ribosomal RNA", at positions 524 to 776 of the family's 1533-position model. The record is from RNAcentral.